UGGGGUGAUGAACUGAUGAAAAGGGAAUCGGGUGAAAAUCCCGAGCAGAGCCGCUGCUGUAAGCUUCGAAAAGAGCUUGCGCUGCACCGAUUACGAGGUCACUAUGGACAUGAUGCCGUGGGAAGGCCGCAGCGCUAAGUGAAGCAAGCCAGAAUACCUGCCUGAAAAGAA
Molecule: non-coding RNA, 171 nt
Filed under: pig gut metagenome
Source: RNAcentral